CAGCAGCCGCGGUAAUACAGAGGGUGCGAGCGUUAAUCGGAUUUACUGGGCGUAAAGCGUGCGUAGGCGGCUUCUUAAGUCGGAUGUGAAAUCCCUGAGCUUAACUUAGGAAUUGCAUUCGAUACUGGGAAGCUAGAGUAUGGGAGAGGAUGGUAGAAUUCCAGGUGUAGCGGUGAAAUGCGUAGAGAUCUGGAUGAAUACCGAUGGCGAAGGCAGCCAUCUGGCCUAAUACUGACGCUGAGGUACGAAAGCAUGGGGAGCAAACAGGAUUAGAUACCCCUGUAGUCCCUGUCUCUUAUAC
Molecule: ribosomal RNA, 301 nt
Filed under: uncultured bacterium
Lineage: Bacteria
Description: partial 16S ribosomal RNA
Rfam family: Bacterial small subunit ribosomal RNA
Source: RNAcentral